GAUGAACGCUAGCGAUAGGCUUAACACAUGCAAGUCGAGGGGCAGCAUGGUCUUAGCUUGCUAAGGCUGAUGGCGACCGGCGCACGGGUGCGUAACGCGUAUGCAACUUGCCUCACAGAGGGGGAUAACCCGUCGAAAGACGGACUAAUACCGCGUACACUCUAUGUUGGGCAUCCAAUGUAGAGGAAAUGAAAUUCGCUGUGAGAUAGGCAUGCGUCCCAUUAGCUAGUUGGUGAGGUAACGGCUCACCAAGGCGACGAUGGGUAGGGGAACUGAGAGGUGGAACCCCCACACUGGUACUGAGACACGGACCAGACUCCUACGGGAGGCAGCAGUGAGGAAGAUUGGUCAAUGGGCGAGAGCCUGAACCAGCCAAGUCGCGUGAAGGAUGACUGUCUUAUGGAUUGUAAACUUCUUUUAUACGGGAAUAACAAGAGUCACGUGUGGCUCCCUGCAUGUACCGUAUGAAUAAGCAUCGGCUAACUCCGUG
Molecule: ribosomal RNA, 490 nt
Filed under: uncultured bacterium
Lineage: Bacteria
Description: partial 16S ribosomal RNA
Rfam family: Bacterial small subunit ribosomal RNA
Source: RNAcentral